RNAcentral lists this ribosomal RNA (427 nucleotides) under uncultured bacterium. RNAcentral describes it as "bacterial SSU rRNA". It matches the Rfam family "Bacterial small subunit ribosomal RNA", at positions 354 to 796 of the family's 1533-position model. The record is from RNAcentral.
GUGAGGAAUAUUGGGCAAUGGGCGGAAGCCUGACCCAGCAACGCCGCGUGGAGGAAUGAAGGCCUUCGGGUUGUAAACUCCUUUUGCAGGGGAAGAGGAAGGACGGUACCCUGCGAAUAAGUCACGGCUAACUACGUGCCAGCAGCCGCGGUAAUACGUAGGUGACGAGCGUUAUCCGGAAUUACUGGGCGUAAAGCGCACGCAGGCGGCUGAAUAAGUCUGACGUGAAAUCUCUCGGCUUAACCGGGAGGGGUCGUUGGAGACUGUUUGGCUUGAGGCGAUGAGAGGGGUGUAGAAUUCCCGGUGUAGUGGUGGAAUGCGUAGAUAUCGGGAGGAAUACCAGUGGCGAAAGCGGCACCCUGGCAUUAGCCUGACGCUCAUGUGCGAAAGCGUGGGGAGCAAACGGGAUUAGAAACCCUAGUAGUCC